GAUGAACGCUGGCGGCGUGCCUAAUACAUGCAAGUCGAGCGAACGGACGAGAAGCUUGCUUCUCUGAUGUUAGCGGCGGACGGGUGCGUAACACGUGGAUAACCUACCUAUAAGACUGGGAUAACUUCGGGAAACCGGAGCUAAUACCGGAUGAUAUUUUGAACCGCAUGGUUCAAAAGUGAAAGACGGUCUUGCUGUCACUUAUAGAUGGAUCCGCGCUGCAUUAGCUAGUUGGUAAGGUAACGGCUUACCAAGGCAACGAUGCAUAGCCGACCUGAGAGGGUGAUCGGCCACACUGGAACUGAGACACGGUCCAGACUCCUGCGGGAGGCAGCAGUAGGGAAUCUUCCGCAAUGGGCGAAAGCCUGACGGAGCAACGCCGCGUGAGUGAUGAAGGUCUUCGGAUCGUAAAACUCUGUUAUUAGGGAAGAACAUAUGUGUAAGUAACUGUGCACAUCUUGACGGUACCUAAUCAGAAAGCCACGGCUAACUACGUG
This 497-nucleotide ribosomal RNA is filed under the name uncultured bacterium. Its description in RNAcentral is "partial 16S ribosomal RNA". It matches the Rfam family "Bacterial small subunit ribosomal RNA", at positions 28 to 507 of the family's 1533-position model. The record is from RNAcentral.